Ostrinia nubilalis (European corn borer) is the source of this 1851-nucleotide long non-coding RNA. RefSeq lists it as uncharacterized. Lineage: Eukaryota; Metazoa; Arthropoda; Insecta; Lepidoptera; Crambidae. The transcript is spliced from 2 exons. The record is from RefSeq and is a predicted model, not a curated record.
AUAUUAAAUAUUGAAGUUACUCAUCGGCCUCCAAAAGAUGAGAAAGAAAAAACUUCUGAGGAAGAAAAUUUGGUAAAAGAUAAAAUUUUCCAACUAGCUCAGGACACAGAGAGAGAUCUUACUUCCAAGGUGCAAGCCAUAGAAAAAACCCAUGAGCUAUUCAAACACAAUAGUUAUUACAAACUAGGAUUUUUAACAAGUUAUAUCAACACCACCCACCAUGCUUUGGUCGAGUUGGUGAAGUACGUAGGCAGAAAUAAAGACGACUGGGACGUGCUGAAAGUUUUGAAUGCUUAUGUACAGAUCAAAAGAACCAAAGAGUUUCUGACCGAAAUGCUGGCCACUCUAGCGUUCAUACAAAGCAGGCAGUCUAUGGCCAUGCCGCUUAGCGUUGAACAACCGAAGAAACGCGUCAGCAGUAUAGCCUGGUCUUACUAUGAUGAUGACCAUUAAUUUAUUGUAUAAAGUCCGGUCGCCGAGCACGUAAAAUUUCGUCCAAUGACCCCAAACUAAGCGUAAUUAUAUUGCGUGCGUGCGUAGUGCGUUGCAGUACGAAGUUUCAUACAAAGAAUACUGACCACCUCGAGUUGAUACGGUUACGAUCCCUUUCCGGGUUGAUAAGUGUGCUUUGUCCUUAAGGCCCAGAAGAACAGACGGUGAAACGCAACUGCAACGAAACUGCAACUUUCUGAUGAUUCUGAUGAAUGAAACUGAAACUGAAAGUUUCAAACUGGUCGCGUCAUGUGUGGUCUCAACGGACGCUAUGGCAGAAACUUAGAUGCAACUCAAAAGUAACUAACAGUUGCAGUUUCGUUGCAGUUGCGUUUCACCGUCUGUUCUGGGCCUAAAUGUGUUAACUGAUCGAUUACUCACGGGGUCGGCUUAUUUGUAAGUAAAAGAAAGUCAUCAAGUAUCAAUUUCAUUUAUUUACAAAUAAUAAAUAAUCUCACAAUAUUAUGCAAAGUUACAACUAAUCAGAUCUACGUAUGUCGUGGUCUAAAAUAGAUAUAAAGCCCGGCCCGUGAGCACGUGGAAUUUUGUCAAAUGACCCCUAGCUACCAAUCCUUAUCGCUCGCGCGUAAUUAUAUUGCUGUCGCGACUGUGCGACUGGCACCCGCAGUGAGUGUGCGAGCGUGAUAGCAAAAUAAUUACGCGCGAGCGAUAAGGAUGGGUAGCUUGGGUUCAUUGGACAAAAUUCUACGUGCUCACGGACCAGACUUUAGAUCGUUUCAUCCACUCGGCCGCGCCCCACCAAUGUUUGGUCUCGGCCGCGCGGGGUGCGGGGAGUGUGGUCCGAGCAAUCCGUAAGGCAUUACUGUAGUGUGCGUGUGCACUCAUGGAGCAUUAGCGUGUACCGAUAACACUCAAACAUUCGCUUAAGAAUGGUGGGGCGCGUCCGAGUGGAUGAAACGAUCUACAAUGUCUGUAUAAAUAAGUGUAAAAUUAUUAAUACUAUUAUUAUUAUGGCAUAAAACUCACUUAUACAUACUAUUGUAUAACUAGUAAUAUUGUAAGGCAAUUCAACUUGCCCUAAAAUGAUGCAUUUCGGACUUUAUUUCAUCUCAAUAAGAUUCAAAAUAAAAUCAAUAUGGUGCCAAACAAAUAUAAAUCCGUCUAUACCAAAGGCGUCUACUGGUGAUAUAUAUUUUUAAAUAAAUAAAAUAAAAUAUGUAAAAUUCAAAUUAGAUCACCUAUUAUUUUGUAAAAUAUAAAACAAUAAAAUUGUGUAAAUUCAUAAUUUUUAUCUUCAUUCAUCACUUCCUAGCCCUUUCAAGUUGUAUAAGUUUCUAUUUAUGUAUUGAGGGUCACUACAUUAUGAGUACAUGUAAAAAUAUAUUUAUUUCAUCAUUA